Small nuclear RNA from Nannospalax galili (Upper Galilee mountains blind mole rat), 189 nucleotides. Its record names the gene U2. It matches the Rfam family "U2 spliceosomal RNA". Rfam says of the family: U2 is a small nuclear RNA (snRNA) component of the spliceosome (involved in pre-mRNA splicing). Complementary binding between U2 snRNA (in an area lying towards the 5' end but 3' to hairpin I) and the branchpoint sequence (BPS) of the intron results the bulging out of an unpaired adenosine, on the BPS, which initiates a nucleophilic attack at the intronic 5' splice site, thus starting the first of two transesterification reactions that mediate splicing. NCBI's taxonomy places the organism in Eukaryota, Metazoa, Chordata, Mammalia, Rodentia, Spalacidae. The record is from Ensembl.
AUCCCUUUGAGGGCUUUGGGCUAGGAUCGAGUGUAGUAUUUGUUCUUACUAGUUUAAUAUCAGACGUGUCCUCUAUCUGGGGACAAUAUAGUAAAUGGAUUUUGGAACGAGGAAAUAGAAUAGGAGCUUAUACAGUUCACUCUGAGCACUGACCUGAUGUUGCAGCACCUCCAACAAUGGUAACCCUUU